GUUGUAUGGUUAAGUGACUAAGCGUACACGGUGGAUGCCUUGGCAGUCAGAGGCGAUGAAGGACGUAUUAACUUGCGAUAAGCCCAGAUUAGGUAGUAAAAACCAUUUGAGUCUGGGAUUUCCGAAUGGGGAAACCCACUAGCAUAAGCUAGUAUCGCUGCGUGAAUACAUAGCGCAGCGAGGCGAACCGGGGGAACUGAAACAUCUAAGUACCCCGAGGAAAAGAAAUCAACCGAGAUUCCGAAAGUAGCGGCGAGCGAAAUUGGACUAGCCCUUAAGCUUUUUAUGCGUCAGGUGAAACUUCUGGAAAGUUGUGCGAUACAGGGUGAUAGCCCCGUAACCGGCAACGCAUAUAAAGUGAAAUCGAGUAGGGCGGGACACGUGAUAUCCUGUCUGAAUAUGGGGGGACCAUCCUCCAAGGCUAAAUACUACUGACUGACCGAUAGUGAACCAGUACCGUGAGGGAAAGGCGAAAAGAACCCCUGUGAGGGGAGUGAAAUAGAACCUGAAACCGUGUACGUACAAGCAGUAGGAGCACCUUCGUGGUGUGACUGCGUACCUUUUGUAUAAUGGGUCAGCGACUUAUAUUCAGUGGCAAGGUUAACCAUCUAGGGGAGCCGUAGGGAAACCGAGUCUUAACUGGGCGUUCAGUCUCUGGAUAUAGACCCGAAACCAGGUGAUCUAGCCAUGGGCAGGUUGAAGGUUGAGUAACAUCAACUGGAGGACCGAACCGACUAAUGUUGAAAAAUUAGCGGAUGACUUGUGGCUAGGGGUGAAAGGCCAAUCAAACCUGGAGAUAGCUGGUUCUCCCCGAAAGCUAUUUAGGUAGCGCCUCGGACGAAUACUACUGGGGGUAGAGCACUGUUAAGGCUAGGGGGUCAUCCCGACUUACCAACCCUUUGCAAACUCCGAAUACCAGUAAGUACUAUCCGGGAGACACACGGCGGGUGCUAACGUCCGUCGUGGAGAGGGAAACAACCCAGACCGCCAGCUAAGGUCCCAAAUUACUACUAAGUGGGAAACGAUGUGGGAAGGCUCAGACAGCCAGGAUGUUGGCUUAGAAGCAGCCAUCAUUUAAAGAAAGCGUAAUAGCUCACUGGUCGAGUCGGCCUGCGCGGAAGAUGUAACGGGGCUAAGUAGUAAACCGAAGCUGCGGCAAUGCACUUUAGUGCAUUGGGUAGGGGAGCGUUCUGUAAGCGGUUGAAGGUGUGUGGUAACGCAUGCUGGACGUAUCAGAAGUGCGAAUGCUGACAUGAGUAACGAUAAAGGGGGUGAAAAACCUCCUCGCCGGAAGACCAAGGGUUCCUGUCCAACGUUAAUCGGGGCAGGGUAAGUCGACCCCUAAGGCGAGGCCGAAAGGCGUAGUCGAUGGGAAACGGGUUAAUAUUCCCGUACUUCUUACAAUUGCGAUGGGGGACGGAGAAGGCUAGGUGGGCCUGGCGACGGUUGUCCAGGUUCAAGUGCGUAGGCUUAAGAGUUAGGUAAAUCCGGCUCUUUUUAAGGCUGAGACACGACGUCGAGCUACUACGGUAGUGAAGUCAUUGAUGCCAUGCUUCCAGGAAAAGCCUCUAAGCUUCAGAUUGUAAGGAAUCGUACCCCAAACCGACACAGGUGGUCGGGUAGAGAAUACCAAGGCGCUUGAGAGAACUCGGGUGAAGGAACUAGGCAAAAUGGUACCGUAACUUCGGGAGAAGGUACGCUCUCGACGGUGAAGUCCCUUGCGGAUGGAGCUAUUGAGAGUCGCAGAUACCAGGUGGCUGCAACUGUUUAUUAAAAACACAGCACUGUGCAAAAUCGUAAGAUGACGUAUACGGUGUGACGCCUGCCCGGUGCCGGAAGGUUAAUUGAUGGGGUUAGACUUCGGUCGAAGCUCUUGAUCGAAGCCCCGGUAAACGGCGGCCGUAACUAUAACGGUCCUAAGGUAGCGAAAUUCCUUGUCGGGUAAGUUCCGACCUGCACGAAUGGCGUAAUGAUGGCCACGCUGUCUCCACCCGAGACUCAGUGAAAUUGAAAUCGCUGUGAAGAUGCAGUGUACCCGCGGCUAGACGGAAAGACCCCGUGAACCUUUACUACAGCUUGGCACUGAACAUUGACCCUACAUGUGUAGGAUAGGUGGGAGGCUUUGAAGCACAGUCGCUAGAUUGUGUGGAGCCGUCCUUGAAAUACCACCCUUGUAGUGUUGAUGUUCUAACGUUGACCCCUAAUCGGGGUUGCGGACAGUGCCUGGUGGGUAGUUUGACUGGGGCGGUCUCCUCCCAAAGCGUAACGGAGGAGCACGAAGGUGGGCUAAUCACGGUUGGACAUCGUGAGGUUAGUGCAAUGGCAUAAGCCCGCUUGACUGCGAGAAUGACGGUUCGAGCAGGUGCGAAAGCAGGUCAUAGUGAUCCGGUGGUUCUGAAUGGAAGGGCCAUCGCUCAACGGAUAAAAGGUACUCCGGGGAUAACAGGCUGAUACCGCCCAAGAGUUCAUAUCGACGGCGGUGUUUGGCACCUCGAUGUCGGCUCAUCACAUCCUGGGGCUGAAGUCGGUCCCAAGGGUAUGGCUGUUCGCCAUUUAAAGUGGUACGCGAGCUGGGUUUAGAACGUCGUGAGACAGUUCGGUCCCUAUCUGCCGUGGGCGUUGGAAGAUUGAAGGGGGCUGCUCCUAGUACGAGAGGACCGGAGUGGACGAACCUCUGGUGUUCGGGUUGUGUCGCCAGACGCAUUGCCCGGUAGCUAAGUUCGGAAUCGAUAACCGCUGAAAGCAUCUAAGCGGGAAGCGAGCCCUGAGAUGAGUCUUCCCUGAUACUUUAAGUAUCCUAAAGGGUUGUUCGAGACUAGAACGUUGAUAGGCAGGGUGUGUAAGCGUUGUGAGGCGUUGAGCUAACCUGUACUAAUUGCCCGUGAGGCUUAACCAUACAACACCCAAGGGGUUU
Molecule: ribosomal RNA, 2914 nt
Filed under: Vibrio harveyi
Lineage: Bacteria; Pseudomonadati; Pseudomonadota; Gammaproteobacteria; Vibrionales; Vibrionaceae
Description: 23S ribosomal RNA
Rfam family: Bacterial large subunit ribosomal RNA
Source: RNAcentral